UAUCUUACAGGUCACGACGACUUCAGAU
This 28-nucleotide non-coding RNA is filed under the name Bombyx mori (domestic silkworm). The record is from RNAcentral. Lineage: Eukaryota; Metazoa; Arthropoda; Insecta; Lepidoptera; Bombycidae.